UGUGAUUGAGACGAGUCCAUAUCUUCUUCAGGCGAAGCCUCCACCACUCCAAAAGAACUGAAUGCAGGUUUCCGAUGCAUCAAUCUCAGUGCACUAGACAAUAUCAUGUUGGAGGGUACAGACAGUGCCGCCAUGUUUGGAUGGAGGAGACCCAGGUCUGUUAUUGUUCUCGAUACACA
Molecule: microRNA precursor, 179 nt
Filed under: Pinus taeda (loblolly pine)
Lineage: Eukaryota; Viridiplantae; Streptophyta; Pinopsida; Pinales; Pinaceae
Source: RNAcentral